RNAcentral lists this ribosomal RNA (540 nucleotides) under Enterococcus sp. RNAcentral describes it as "bacterial SSU rRNA". It matches the Rfam family "Bacterial small subunit ribosomal RNA", at positions 45 to 558 of the family's 1533-position model. The record is from RNAcentral. Lineage: Bacteria; Bacillati; Bacillota; Bacilli; Lactobacillales; Enterococcaceae.
UGCUAUACAUGCAAGUCGUACGCUUCUUUUUCCACCGGAGCUUGCUCCACCGGAAAAAGAAGAGUGGCGAACGGGUGAGUAACACGUGGGUAACCUGCCCAUCAGAAGGGGAUAACACUUGGAAACAGGUGCUAAUACCGUAUAACAAUCGAAACCGCAUGGUUUUGAUUUGAAAGGCGCUUUCGGGUGUCGCUGAUGGAUGGACCCGCGGUGCAUUAGCUAGUUGGUGAGGUAACGGCUCACCAAGGCCACGAUGCAUAGCCGACCUGAGAGGGUGAUCGGCCACAUUGGGACUGAGACACGGCCCAAACUCCUACGGGAGGCAGCAGUAGGGAAUCUUCGGCAAUGGACGAAAGUCUGACCGAGCAACGCCGCGUGAGUGAAGAAGGUUUUCGGAUCGUAAAACUCUGUUGUUAGAGAAGAACAAGGAUGAGAGUAACUGUUCAUCCCUUGACGGUAUCUAACCAGAAAGCCACGGCUAACUACGUGCCAGCAGCCGCGGUAAUACGUAGGUGGCAAGCGUUGUCCGGAUUUAUUGGG